Molecule: ribosomal RNA, 264 nt
Filed under: uncultured prokaryote
Description: partial 16S ribosomal RNA
Rfam family: Bacterial small subunit ribosomal RNA
Source: RNAcentral
UGGGGAAUCUUGGUCAAUGGGCGAAAGCCUGAACCUGCGACGCCGCGUGAGUGAUGAAGGUCGUAAGAUCGUAAAACUCUUUUCAGGGAUCUUAACGCACAGCUGUCAACAACAGCUGUGUCUGACUCUCCCUGGAAGAAGCCCCAGCCAACUACGUGCCCGCAGCUGCGGUAAUACGUAGGGGGCGAGCGUUAUUCGGACUUACUGGGUGUAAAGGGUAUGUAGGCGGCCCUUCAAGUCGCGUGUCAAAGUCCAGUGCGCAAC